Molecule: long non-coding RNA, 675 nt
Filed under: Bemisia tabaci
Lineage: Eukaryota; Metazoa; Arthropoda; Insecta; Hemiptera; Aleyrodidae
Description: lncRNA ENSSSA1UGG010583
Source: RNAcentral
AUGCAAGAUGUGAAUAGUCAAAAAUUACAACAAUCGCAAGUGGCGGCUUCAGCUAGUUCUCGCGGGAAACGUUACUCCACUCAGCGACAGCGGUCUUUGCCUGAGUCUGGCAUCAGUUUCAGUCCUCCUCCUGCCGCGUUCCAGCAGCCUCCGCAAACUCACUAUUAUCAACCGCAAACGUACGGAACGCAGCCUCACCAAAAUGUCUACACACCCAAGACGGCUGCAGCUGCACCUGUGCUAACCCAGCAGCCGGCGGCGCAGUCGCCGCCAAUGCAGCUCGUCUACCUGCAACCGCCAACGCAACCUCCCCCUCCAGCUCAAUACCAGGCUCCACCUCCGCCUCUCAUCAACUAUGUCCCGCAGCCAUUCACAAACCCUGCUGCAGCCUAUCAACAACUCACUCUCCCACCUCCGCCACCUCAGCCAGAGUUGUACCAACAACCGAGUGGAAUCACAUACUAUAGUGCUCAAACGCAAGCAGUUCUGCCACGGCAAACACCUCCCAGGCGGAUCAAGGCGGCCAUUCCUAUAGUUCCUCCCCAGAAAGCAACAGAGGACACAGAUCUAACUCUCAGAUGGAUGAGGAGAAAAAUGCCAGAGAAUACUAUAACCAAGAAGCACUGGAGUCAAGCGCUGGCUAAGCUGUCGUUGGGCGUAAAAUUUCUCUGUUGA